GACUUGUUUUUUCUCUUACAUGCCUUGAGUGUAGGACCGUUGGUAUAUUAAUUAUCCUCCCACACCCAAGGCUUGCAGGAGAGAGAGCCUCCUC
This is a microRNA precursor of Loxodonta africana (African savanna elephant), 94 nucleotides long. Ensembl annotates it as microRNA 532. Its record names the gene MIR532. NCBI's taxonomy places the organism in Eukaryota, Metazoa, Chordata, Mammalia, Proboscidea, Elephantidae. The record is from Ensembl.